AACUGAGGAUGGCUAGGACCACUCUUUCUUCUCUCUCUUUAUCUUUUUGUAUUCUCCUCAUAAUCACCUUCACCUUGUUCAUGCAACCAACUCCAGUAAGAGCAGCAGGUUUGUCUCUGUCAUUCAAUCAUUUCAUUUUUUUUUCCCAAAAGAAAAUUUACAAUGAUGAUCACUGAGAAAUUCAACCACAUAUACGUUUAAUACAUUAAAUACUGCAUUUCUAAUGUUUAGCGUAGAAAGAUGGUUUUAAAUUAUGGUUAUGAAAUAUUGGAUGUCAUAUUUGUAACUAGCAUUUGGUUGUGGAGACUAAGAAAAUCUUUGCAUUAAAAUAAUAAAUUUAAAUCUGACUGUUCUAAACAAAAACAUAUUUCAACUGUAGUAUCUUAAAAGGUUUAUAACGUGAUUUGAUCUUGAUUUGCAGAUCUGAAAGUGAGAAAAUUGGGUGCCAUGCCAAGGCCACCUCCUUCACCUGCAAAAAAUCCACCUUGUGGACUCCAUUGUUGACCUUACUGUUUUACCUUUGUUGGGAAAAAGAUAUUAGGUUUUCUCUAUAAAUCACACCACCAACAUAUUUAUUUGGGAUGCUGCUUGGAGAAGAAAUAUGUAUCAAAAUAUAAUAUGAAAUUCUCAGAGAUAUAUACGUCUUUAAUCAUAUGAAAUAUAGGAAUAAUAUAGUUUUUAGAAAAGAAAAGUUGGAUGCGGAGGAGAUAUUUAUCUUAACUUAAGGCAUGGGAUUGGAUUAUAAAUAAAAACUUAAAAGCUAAAUUUUUGUAUUCGGAUUGGUGGUUUUUCCCAUCUAUGUAUUUAAAGUAUACAUCUAGCUAACUGUACAAAAAAAACAGGGAAAAGAAAGUAGUGUAACUUUGUUUGGGUUAAACCAUCAAUAAAAGAGCAAUGAGAUAGAUUUAUAUGUAAAAGUUUUAUAUGAGUGUUACCUAAUUAGCCUUUUCAGAACAACAUGAAACUCUUUUUGGUCAAAUA
Molecule: long non-coding RNA, 981 nt
Filed under: Vigna radiata
Lineage: Eukaryota; Viridiplantae; Streptophyta; Magnoliopsida; Fabales; Fabaceae
Description: long non-coding RNA (VRAD_LNC000209)
Source: RNAcentral